GUUAAAAAGCUCGUAGUUGGAUCUCGGCGGUCUGAGGGCGGUUCGCUUGAUUGAGUGCUACUGCUCUAUAGGCCGUGGUUUUGCCAGAGGUCUCGGGGUGCUCUUAACCGAGUGUCCUGCGAUGCUGGCAGGUUUACUUUGAAAAAAUUAGAGUGCUCAAAGCAGGCUUUUACGCCUGAAUAUUCGUGCAUGGAAUAAUAGAAUAGGAAGUCGUUUCUAUUUUGUUGGUUUUCGGAAAUCGACUUAAUGAUUAAUAGGGACAGUCGGGGGCAUUUGUAUUCAAACGACAGAGGUGAAAUUCUUGGACCGUUUGAAGACAAACUACUGCGAAAGCAUUUGCCAAGAAUGUUUUCAUUAAUCAAGAGCGAAAGUUAGAGGUUCGAAGGCGAUUAGAUACCGCCCUAGUUCUAACCAUAAACGAUGCCAGCUAGCGAUCUGCCGACGUUUUCUUUGUAGACUCGGCAGGAAGCUUCCGGGAAACCAAAGCAUUUGGGUUCCAGGGGAAGUAUGGUUGCAAAGCUGAAACUUAAAGGAAUUGACGGAAGGGCACCACCAGGAGUGGAGCCUGUGGCUUAAUUUGACUCAACACGGGAAAUCUCACCAGGCCCGGACACUGGAAGGAUUGACAGAUUGAUAGCUCUUUCUUGAUUCGGUGGGUGGUGGUGCAUGGCCGUUCUUAGUUGGUGGAGUGAUUUGUCUGGUUAAUUCCGAUAACGAACGAGACUCUGUCCUGCUAAAUAGUGUCCGCCUCUCUUUUGGGCAGACAAUUCUUCUUAGAGGGACUGGCAACUCUCAGUUGCACGAAAAAGAGCAAUAACAGGUCUGUGAUGCCCUUAGAUGUUCUGGGCCGCACACGCGCUACACUGAAUAGAUCAACGUG
RNAcentral lists this ribosomal RNA (880 nucleotides) under uncultured eukaryote. RNAcentral describes it as "SSU rRNA". It matches the Rfam family "Eukaryotic small subunit ribosomal RNA", at positions 618 to 1519 of the family's 1831-position model. The record is from RNAcentral.